AUUGAACGCUGGCGGCAUGCUUUACACAUGCAAGUCGAACGGCAGCACGGGGGCAACCCUGGUGGCGAGUGGCGAACGGGUGAGUAAUGCAUCGGAACAUACCCAGUCGUGGGGGAUAACGUAGCGAAAGUUACGCUAAUACCGCAUACGUCCUGAGGGAGAAAGCGGGGAGUCGCAAGACCUCGCGCGAUUGGAGUGGCCGAUGUCAGAUUAGCUAGUUGGUGGGGUAAAGGCCCACCAAGGCGACGAUCUGUAGCGGGUCUGAGAGGAUGAUCCGCCACACUGGGACUGAGACACGGCCCAGACUCCUACGGGAGGCAGCAGUGGGGAAUUUUGGACAANAGGGGAAACCCGUACGAUCACGCCAUGCCGCGUGCGGGAAGG
Molecule: ribosomal RNA, 384 nt
Filed under: uncultured bacterium
Lineage: Bacteria
Description: bacterial SSU rRNA
Rfam family: Bacterial small subunit ribosomal RNA
Source: RNAcentral